Stegodyphus mimosarum is the source of this 393-nucleotide non-coding RNA. NCBI's taxonomy places the organism in Eukaryota, Metazoa, Arthropoda, Arachnida, Araneae, Eresidae. The record is from Rfam.
AUGCAUGGCUUAAUGUCUGAGACAAGUAUAUGACUAUUGGCAGCAUCAAUCAGGCAGCUUUUCUAUGUUCAUAGAACAUUCGAAAUGCACGCUAAUCGAAUCCGCCAGUGACAGCGCACACCUUGGAAAUGCUGUCCUACGAUGAUCGUAACAGGUGGCAGGGAAUCAGGGUUCGAUUCCUGAGAGGGAGCCUGAGAAAGGGCUACCACAUCCAAGGAAGUCAACAAGCGCGCAAAUUACCCACUACCACAACGGGAAGAGAGUGACCAACAAUAACAAAACGGGACUCUUUUGAGACCCCACAAAUGGGACGAGUAACUAAAUCUUUUAACGAGAUCAAUUGGAGGGCAAGUCCAGUACCAGCAGCCGUGGUAAUUCCAGCUCCAAUAGCGU